This 468-nucleotide ribosomal RNA is filed under the name uncultured bacterium. RNAcentral's name for it is "partial 16S ribosomal RNA". It matches the Rfam family "Bacterial small subunit ribosomal RNA", at positions 28 to 507 of the family's 1533-position model. The record is from RNAcentral.
GACGAACGCUGGCGGCGUGCUUAACACAUGCAAGUCGAACGGAAAGGCCCUGCUUUUGUGGGGUGCUCGAGUGGCGAACGGGUGAGUAACACGUGAGUAACCUGCCCUUGACUUUGGGAUAACUUCAGGAAACUGGGGCUAAUACCGGAUAGGAGCUCCUGCUGCAUGGUGGGGGUUGGAAAGUUUCGGCGGUUGGGGAUGGACUCGCGGCUUAUCAGCUUGUUGGUGGGGUAGUGGCUUACCAAGGCUUUGACGGGUAGCCGGCCUGAGAGGGUGACCGGCCACAUUGGGACUGAGAUACGGCCCAGACUCCUACGGGAGGCAGCAGUGGGGAAUAUUGCACAAUGGGCGGAAGCCUGAUGCAGCAACGCCGCGUGCGGGAUGACGGCCUUCGGGUUGUAAACCGCUUUCGCCAGUGACGAAGCGUGAGUGACGGUAAUGGGUAAAGAAGCACCGGCUAACUACGUA